AUGAGCGAGUCUGGGCAGAGGUCGAGGCCGUGGCCACCGGGGGCGGCCGCGAUGGCGCCGUCGGAGCCGGCUGCGGCUGCCGACGCGAGGGGCGAGGCGACGACGCUGAGGGACUUCGGCACGUCCAUGGACGCCAUCUCCUUCGGCUUCGCGGCCACGGCCAUCCUCAUCUCCAUCUUCCUCCUCAUGGCCAUCUUCGAGCACCUCAUCAGGCCCCAGGCGUUCCAGGCGCCAGCCGGCUCCCCGCGCGGCCGACGCCGGCGUGGCCACCGCUCGCCCGGCAAGCCCCGGAGCCCGCCCAUGGUGCAGACGGUGCUGCAGGCGGCGGACCUGUCGGUGCUGAUGCCGGGGCAGCGGUACCCGACGUACCUCGCGCAGCCGGCGCCAUUGCCGCCGCCGUGCCCCAGGGAGGGGGUGCACUGGCCGCCGCACGACCACCGCCGCUCCCAAAUGCCACCCUGA
RNAcentral lists this ribosomal RNA (462 nucleotides) under Triticum aestivum (bread wheat). Its description in RNAcentral is "partial small subunit ribosomal RNA". Lineage: Eukaryota; Viridiplantae; Streptophyta; Magnoliopsida; Poales; Poaceae. The record is from RNAcentral.